RNAcentral lists this ribozyme (72 nucleotides) under unclassified sequences. RNAcentral's name for it is "pistol ribozyme". It matches the Rfam family "Pistol ribozyme". The record is from RNAcentral.
ACAGGUUGCAGCCUGUAUAAAUAGGUUAUUAAGCUACAAGCGUAUCAAUCCCUUCGGGGAUUGGUGGUUAAC